AACGGACAAGUAAGAGCUUGCUCUUAUGAGUUAGUGGCGCACGGGUGAGUAAUGUAUAGCUAAUCUGCCCUACACUAGAGGACAACAGUUGGAAACGACUGCUAAUACUCUAUACUCCUCUCUAGCAUAAGUUAGAUAGGGAAAGUUUUUCGGUGUAGGAUGAGGCUAUAUUGUAUCAGCUAGUUGGUGAGGUAAUGACUCACCAAGGCUAUGACGCAUAACUGGUCUGAGAGGAUGAUCAGUCACACUGGGACUGAGACACGGUCCAGACUCCUACGGGAGGCAGCAGUAGGGAAUAUCGCUCAAUGGGGGAAACCCUGAAGCAGCAACGCCGCGUGGAGGAUGACACUUUUCGGAGCGUAAACUCCUUUUGUUAGGGAAGAACAAUGACGGUACCUAACGAAUAAGCACCGGCUAACUCCGUGCCAGCAGCCGCGGUAAUACGGAGGGUGCAAGCGUUACUCGGAAUCACUGGGCGUAAAGGACGCGUAGGCGGAUUAUCAAGUCUCUUGUGAAAUCCUAUGGCUUAACCAUAGAACUGCUUGGGAAACUGAUAAUCUAGAGUGAGGGAGAGGCAGAUGGAAUUGGUGGUGUAGGGGUAAAAUCCGUAGAGAUCACCAGGAAUACCCAUUGCGAAGGCGAUCUGCUGGAACUCAACUGACGCUAAUGCGUGAAA
Molecule: ribosomal RNA, 676 nt
Filed under: uncultured Campylobacterota bacterium
Lineage: Bacteria; Pseudomonadati; Campylobacterota
Description: bacterial SSU rRNA
Rfam family: Bacterial small subunit ribosomal RNA
Source: RNAcentral